This 207-nucleotide ribosomal RNA is filed under the name uncultured bacterium. RNAcentral's name for it is "partial 16S ribosomal RNA". It matches the Rfam family "Bacterial small subunit ribosomal RNA", at positions 568 to 774 of the family's 1533-position model. The record is from RNAcentral.
CGCGUAGGCGGCUUGGUAAGUAGGGGGUGAAAUCUCACGGCUCAACCGUGAGGCUGCCUUCUAGACUGCCGAGCUUGAGCACAGUAGAGGCUGGUGGAAUUCCCGGUGUAGCGGUGGAAUGCGUAGAGAUCGGGAAGAACAUCUGUGGCGAAGGCGGCCAGCUGGGCUGUUGCUGACGCUGAUGCGCGACAGCGUGGGGAGCAAACA